Molecule: long non-coding RNA, 929 nt
Organism: Pteronotus mesoamericanus
Lineage: Eukaryota; Metazoa; Chordata; Mammalia; Chiroptera; Mormoopidae
Exons: 4
Source: RefSeq, a predicted model, not a curated record
GGAGCGCCUCCGCGGGGCCCGGGACCUCGGGGACGGCUUGCACCCAGAAGGCCGAGGGAGCCUGGCCCCACGCGGGCUCCAAGGGUGUGCUCGGAAAAUGAGAAGUCUCCAGGCCCCGGCGAUCGGGGCCGGGCGUGCACAGUUAUUGCCGCCUGCGUCUCCCCGAUGACAGCAUUUGAAUAACCUCGGUUUAGGGGAUCCAGGGGAAGCCAGGGACACUGCCCAGCCGCGCGCUGCCACCAAGUGGCCAGGACCUGCACCCCUGGACGCAGGCACGCCUCCGGCUCCGGCGCCACCGUUUGCGUCCCUGCCUGUGUCCACCGCGGAGGGACGGCGUGCUCACUCGCUACCCCAGCAGAGCGGGGAUGUUUAUCUCAGUCGUCGUUGAAACCACAGACCAGAGGACCACAGAAAGUACGUUUCUCCAAUAGUUUUUACAAGAUGAAUUACGCAGCUGCAGCAGAAAUCUAGUUCUUUCUAUGCAGAUUGAAUUAAAGUGGUGUCGCGUGAGUUGCUGGAAGGUCACGUGUCUCUUGGGCCCGUCAGCUGUGCAGUUGCGGUGGUUACGCAACUUGCCUUCAGAACUGCAGCCACCUCAGCAAAGCAUUUAGACAACACAUGGAAUUAAAAUGAGACUCGUACUUUCUUUGAGCAACAAAUUCCUUGUUAGCAAAACCAAGACUCGGGGUUCGACACUGACUCCCACUGGAGGCUGGCAGCCCCCGCAAGCGCAGCUCUACAGGUCACGCUUCUGACAUGCGUGCCCGUAUGUGCUACGGGCGAAGCUCCUGUAAGUGGCUGUCACUCGUGCGCUGCCUUUGUUCCAAAUCACUGCCGCCCUUUGAAAGUCAUGGGGGAGAGAAAAGAUGACAUGAGAUGUAAAAAUGAAAUAAAGGGUUCGUGUCCUCUGGCCAUCUUAACUGCGCGUC